AGUCCAGAUUAUGUCGAGCUGCAAACUUGAUUUUGGGUUUUUCCCCUGGACUU
This 53-nucleotide transfer RNA is filed under the name Varanus panoptes horni. RNAcentral's name for it is "tRNA-Cys". The record is from RNAcentral. Lineage: Eukaryota; Metazoa; Chordata; Lepidosauria; Squamata; Varanidae.